Molecule: long non-coding RNA, 382 nt
Filed under: Oryza brachyantha (malo sina)
Lineage: Eukaryota; Viridiplantae; Streptophyta; Magnoliopsida; Poales; Poaceae
Description: long non-coding RNA (OBRA_LNC001910)
Source: RNAcentral
UAAUAUGCAAAUAUUUGGUUCAUUAGUUCACACAGUCACAAUGCCUGACAAGUUGCACCGUCUAUGACUUUUUGUAUUUGCCAGCUGUGUUUUUGGUUUCCCCUCUUAACUUGACAAGUUAUCCAUGAAGCACUCUGUGCAACAUUGUCUUCCACUUAAAAUGGAUGUUACCUAUCAACAUUUCUACUAUUUUCCAUGGAAAAUAUUUCUGCUAUCAAUGUCAUUGCUAUAGAAGGUUUUACCUGCGAGGUAAUUAUUUUUAGUUGAUAUGUGCUGUGGUUCUUAUAUGCUUAUGUUGAACAAGUGAAUAAACAAGUCAAAGAAUUGGCCCUGUACUUUCUCUAUUUCCUCCUAUGUCUUCUUUCUAAGAAAAGCAGAGUUG